Molecule: ribosomal RNA, 450 nt
Filed under: uncultured bacterium
Lineage: Bacteria
Description: partial 16S ribosomal RNA
Rfam family: Bacterial small subunit ribosomal RNA
Source: RNAcentral
GUGGGAAAUAUUGGACAAUGGGCGAAAGCCUGAUCCAGCCAUGCCGCGUGUGUGAAGAAGGUCUUCGGAUUGUAAAGCACUUUAAGUUGGGAGGAAGGGCAGUAAGUUAAUACCUUGCUGUUUUGACGUUACCGACAGAAUAAGCACCGGCUAACUUCGUGCCAGCAGCCGCGGUAAUACGAAGGGUGCAAGCGUUAAUCGGAAUUACUGGGCGUAAAGCGCGCGUAGGUGGUUUUGUAAGUUGGAGGUGAAAUCCCCGGGCUCAACCUGGGAACUGCCUCCAAAACUGCAUGACUAGAGUACGGUAGAGGGUAGUGGAAUUUCCUGUGUAGCGGUGAAAUGCGUAGAUAUAGGAAGGAACACCAGUGGCGAAGGCGACUACCUGGACUGAUACUGACACUGAGGUGCGAAAGCGUGGGGAGCAAACAGGAUUAGAAACCCCGGUAGUAC